GAGUUGGCUGUAGCUUCUUAUUCUCUAGGUCUUGCCCUAUUCACGUCUGUCAUCUCUUUCUUUCUCCAUACCUAUUUGAUAACCUUCAUAGGGAUAAUAUUAGCUAAGCCAUUGCCAAGAGCUGACUCAACUCUUCUCUAAUCUUCUUCUUCAUGAUCUAAGGUAGUUAGGACGUCGAAUCUCACCCUAGUUAAGAGGGGGAUUUGAGGUCUGUUUAUGUGAUGAAGAGGUUGAAAAGAUGAAGUUUGCAUCAAUUUUGGACUGAGAAUUCAUAAGAGAGUUGGAGACAUGAAAGCUGUAGAGGAAGCAAGGAAGAAGAUGAAUCUUCUCUCUAAAAAAACUGAAAAGAAGGCGGAGCUUCUCGCUCUUAGUUCAGAUACUUCCAAUAUACAUCAAUAUGCUUUAAUUAGAAACUCUGAUGGUGAAUGUGAUAUUGAAUUUGUGUAACAGGAAAAGAAGGUGCCGAGUGCAAGAGUAGGAGAGCAAGAGAGUAGUAACAAUAAUUAUGGGAUGAGACCAGGCACUAGCAGUAGUAGGCGUUCUGGGUAUUCAGUGAAUAGCAUAAAUAUGUCCUUCAUAAUUAAACAAUAUUUAAAAUACUAUUAUUAACACCAAUA
This is a long non-coding RNA of Prosopis cineraria, 617 nucleotides long. RefSeq lists it as uncharacterized. Lineage: Eukaryota; Viridiplantae; Streptophyta; Magnoliopsida; Fabales; Fabaceae. The transcript has 2 exons. The record is from RefSeq and is a predicted model, not a curated record.